GCGCCUGUAGCUCAAUUGGAUAGAGCGUCUGACUACGGAUCAGAAGGUUCCGGAUUCAAGUUCUGGCAGGCGCGCCA
This 77-nucleotide transfer RNA is filed under the name Clostridiaceae bacterium. RNAcentral describes it as "tRNA-Arg". It matches the Rfam family "tRNA". From Rfam's summary of the family: Transfer RNA (tRNA) molecules are approximately 80 nucleotides in length. Their secondary structure includes four short double-helical elements and three loops (D, anti-codon, and T loops). Further hydrogen bonds mediate the characteristic L-shaped molecular structure. tRNAs have two regions of fundamental functional importance: the anti-codon, which is responsible for specific mRNA codon recognition, and the 3' end, to which the tRNAs corresponding amino acid is attached (by aminoacyl-tRNA synthetases). tRNAs cope with the degeneracy of the genetic code in two manners: having more than one tRNA (with a specific anti-codon) for a particular amino acid; and 'wobble' base-pairing, i.e. permitting non-standard base-pairing at the 3rd anti-codon position. The record is from RNAcentral. Lineage: Bacteria; Bacillati; Bacillota; Clostridia; Eubacteriales; Clostridiaceae. RNAcentral also lists the same sequence under 2 other names.